AGAACGAACGCUGGCGGCAUGCCUAAUACAUGCAAGUCGAACGAACUCUUCGGAGUUAGUGGCGCACGGGUGCGUAACGCGUGGGAAUCUGCCCCUUGGUUCGGAAUAACAGUUGGAAACGACUGCUAAUACCGGAUGAUGACGAAAGUCCAAAGAUUUAUCGCCAAGGGAUGAGCCCGCGUAGGAUUAGCUAGUUGGUGAGGUAAAGGCUCACCAAGGCAACGAUCCUUAGCUGGUCUGAGAGGAUGAUCAGCCACACUGGGACUGAGACACGGCCCAGACUCCUACGGGAGCAGCAGUAGGGAAUCUUGCGCAAUGGGCGAAAGCCUGACGCAGCCAUGCCGCGUGAAUGAUGAAGGUCUUAGGAUUGUAAAAUUCUUUCACCGGGAAGAUAAUGACGGUACCUAGGAGAAGAAGCCCGCUAACUUCGUGCCAGCAGCCG
This 442-nucleotide ribosomal RNA is filed under the name uncultured soil bacterium. Its description in RNAcentral is "bacterial SSU rRNA". It matches the Rfam family "Bacterial small subunit ribosomal RNA", at positions 26 to 517 of the family's 1533-position model. The record is from RNAcentral.